CCUACGGGAGGCAGCAGUGAGGAAUAUUGGUCAAUGGACGGAAGUCUGAACCAGCCAUGCCGCGUGCAGGAAGACGGCUCUAUGAGUUGUAAACUGCUUUUGUACAAGGGUAAACCUGAAUACGUGUAUUCAGCUGAAAGUACUGUACGAAUAAGGAUCGGCCAACUCCGUGCCAGCACCCGCGGUAAUACGGAGGAUCCAAGCGUUAUCCGGAUUUAGUGGGUUUAAAGGGUGCGUAGGCGGAUUGAUAAGUUAGAGGUGAAAUGUCCGAGCUUAACUCGGGAACUGCCUCUAAUACUGUUGAUCUAGAGUGUAGAUGCGGUAGGCGGAAUGUAUGGUGUAGCGGUGAAAUGCUUAGAGAUCAUACAGAACACCGAUUGCGAAGGCAGCUUACCAAUCUAUAUCUGACGUUGAGGCACGAAAGCGUGGGGAGCAAACAGGAUUAGAUACCCGUGUAGUC
Molecule: ribosomal RNA, 460 nt
Filed under: uncultured bacterium
Lineage: Bacteria
Description: partial 16S ribosomal RNA
Rfam family: Bacterial small subunit ribosomal RNA
Source: RNAcentral